Molecule: ribosomal RNA, 38 nt
Filed under: Saprolegnia mixta
Lineage: Eukaryota; Oomycota; Saprolegniomycetes; Saprolegniales; Saprolegniaceae
Also listed under: 1 other name
Description: partial 28S ribosomal RNA
Source: RNAcentral
UUGGACCUGAUAUCAAACAAGACUACCCGCUGAACUUA